This 215-nucleotide long non-coding RNA is filed under the name Elaeis guineensis (African oil palm). RNAcentral's name for it is "long non-coding RNA (EGUI_LNC048638)". Lineage: Eukaryota; Viridiplantae; Streptophyta; Magnoliopsida; Arecales; Arecaceae. The record is from RNAcentral.
GAGUCUUAAAUCCUCCCACUAACUUCACCAAGUCAUAAAGAGGACUAUAGAUAAGUUGGUUAAAUGGCACCUAACUCAAUCGAACUGAUUUAAUGAUUUGAGAAUAAGAGAAGAGAUCAACUAGCAAAUCAUAAAUUCUUCUACUGACUUUAUCAAGUCAUGAAGAGGACUAGUUAGUGACCUAAUUAAAAUAUAAUCUACCAUAUUGGCUAGGU